UAAUAAUUUGGUUUUAGUUAUAUUUGUUGAUUUUUGCUUAAUAAUACAUGUUAGGUUUAUAUAAGUUCGAUUUCCUGUUAAUUUACUUUGUUUAAAGUUUAAUAUUUUUUUUUAAUAUGUAAAUUUUUAGUGGUAAUAAAUAUGUUUAUCAAUAUUACUAUUAUUUGCGGGUACUCAGUAUUUAGAAUUAUACAAUGAAUGAAAGUUUUAUAUAGAUAUAGUAAGUGAGAACUGGUUAAUAUUUGUGCCAGCAACUGCGGUUAUACAAGUAGUUCAAAUUAAAAUUUAAUAGUAGAAAGUAAAGUUUGAUAAUUAAUGUAUAUGAGUGCGUAUGCGUUUAUAUUGCUUAUUGUGGUUAAUUAGGUGUAUGAGCAUUUAUGUGUGAGUAUAUAAAAUAUAUAGAAAAUUUCAUUAAUAUAUAAUUAAGUAAAAUUUUAUUAUUAUUUUGAGUUUUAUAUUUUUCUAUAAAAUUAAUUCUUUAAAAAUUUGAAAAUAAACUAGGAUUAGAUACCCUAUUAUUUCAUUGUUGUUAAAAUUGGUUUUAAAUUCUGCUUAGGUAUUAAGAACUAUUAAGAUUAUUUAUUUGUUUAAAACUUAAAAGAUUUGGCGGUUUCACAUACCCAUUUAGGGGAGCUUGUUAAUAUAAUAUGAUAUUCCUCGAUUUAAACUUACUUUUUUUUGAAAAAUGGACAGUUUGUGUAUUGCUGUCGUUAGUUUAUGUUUAAAGAAUUUAAUGUAAAAAACUUUAAAAUUAAUGAGUUUGUAUGUCAAGUCAAAAUGCAGCUAAUAAAAAAGGUUUAAUGAGCUACUUUUUAUAAAUUUAAUUUCCGGUAAAAAAAUUUAAUUAUUUUUAGUAAGGCGGACUUAAUAGUAAUAUGAAAUUAGUUAGUUUGUGUGAAUAUUGGUUUUGUGUUGUGUACAUAUCGCCCGUCGCUCUUGUUUUCAGAUAAGAUAAGUCGUAACAUAGUAAGGGUAAUGGAAAUUGUUCUUGGUUAAGG
Molecule: non-coding RNA, 998 nt
Filed under: Cirroteuthis muelleri
Lineage: Eukaryota; Metazoa; Mollusca; Cephalopoda; Octopoda; Cirroteuthidae
Source: RNAcentral